ACUACGGGUGGCAGCAGUGGGGGAUAUUGCACAAUGGGGGAAACCCUGAUGCAGCGACGCCGCGUGUGGGAAGACGGUCCUCUGGAUUGUAAACCACUGUCCCCAGGGACGAAGAUGACGGUACCUGGGGAGGAAGCUCCGGCUAACUACGUGCCAGCAGCCGCGGUAAUACGUAGGGAGCGAGCGUUGUCCGGAAUUACUGGGGGUAAAGGGAGCGUAGGCGGGACUGCAAGUUGGGUGUCAAAUCUACCGGCUCAACCGGUAGCCGCACUCAAAACUGCAGUUCUUGAGUGAAGUAGAGGCAGGCGGAAUUCCUAGUGUAGCGGUGAAAUGCGUAGAUAUUAGGAGGAACACCAGUGGCGAAGGCGGCCUGCUGGGCUUUUACUGACGCUGAGGCUCGAAAGUGUGGGGAGCAAACAGGAUUAGAUACCCCGGUAGUC
This 440-nucleotide ribosomal RNA is filed under the name uncultured bacterium. RNAcentral describes it as "partial 16S ribosomal RNA". It matches the Rfam family "Bacterial small subunit ribosomal RNA", at positions 338 to 795 of the family's 1533-position model. The record is from RNAcentral.